GUGUGAAGUGAACCUGUGUUACUUUUACAGAUCCGGCUGUGUGACCGCCAACGGGACGUAACAGGAAGAUUUUCAGAAGGCGGUGUGGACGAACAUGUGUCUGUCAGCAGAUGGAGAGGCGGAGGCCCCCCUGGCAAAGACUUAAGCGCAGUUGCAGAGGUUGUGCUGCGCAUACUUGGAGAAGAUAACGCCAGCAUCUCUGGGUUGGACGGCGGCCAGGAUCCAGCUGCGAUGAAGCUUGAUUUGCUUUCAAAAGGUUUGGAUCAAGAUGCACCAAGAGAGUCUCCUGUGUCCCCAGGCAUCUUCGAUGAGCACUCUCCCUGUGCUUUUGAUGCAGUGCAGCCAGGCCCAAGCACUUUGUGUGAGGCAAUAGGCAUCCAUCAAGUGGCCGGGGUGAGUGAUUGUGGCCCAGCAGAGGACCCAGAUGAUCUGCAGGCACUGCGGAGACAAAAAAUGAAGCUGCAAAUUAAAGUGUUGCGACUCCAAGAGGAGUACUACAACUUGGCUUUAA
This is a long non-coding RNA of Epinephelus lanceolatus (giant grouper), 511 nucleotides long. RefSeq lists it as uncharacterized. The record is from RefSeq and is a predicted model, not a curated record. NCBI's taxonomy places the organism in Eukaryota, Metazoa, Chordata, Actinopteri, Perciformes, Serranidae.